CUGAGAGGCGCACCCGGGCGGCCAGCUGGGCUCGGAGUGCAGCGGGGUUAGGAUGGACGAGGACGUGUUGCACCCUGAAGAGCCUCAUCAUCGCCUGCUCUUGAGGUUCACAGAUGAUACCUUUGAUCCAGAACUUGCAGCAACAAUAGCACCGGAAGCAGUACUCAGAACAAGUCAUACCUAAUGCUGCAGGAAACAUUUCCAAACGUGUAUGAAGAUACAUAUUGGUGGCAGAGCUAAUUCAACAGAAGCAACUCCAUCUACCUUUUCAUGUUAUUUUGACACCAAAACAAAUCUUGAAAGUGAAUGAAUACAUAUUGCUUUGUUAAAUACAUAUUUGACUUAUAUGGUGUUUAUAUAAAUAUAUAUAUAUUUUAGAAUCCACAAACUAUCAAAAUAACACUUUAUAAAGAGAACUGCUUCAAAAAAAAAAAAAAAAGGCAUUGCCUAGCUGGAACAAGAAGGCAGUGCUAUCUAUAGCAGCUGCGGCUUAAGUGCACAUAACAGAUACUUUUAUUAAUUCUGAUAACCUCCUGAAUGGUGGAAAGAAGUUUCCAAACAGUUCCCUUGAACAUUUACAAAAUACACAACUCCGGGACAAGCAGUAUCUUUAACAAUGUCAGGUUCUGAAAACUCUGAUUGAAAAAUACUUUGUGAAAAACACCAGUCCAAAAAUAUAUAUCCAUUUCCCUGGUGCAGUGGUGUUGUUGGACGUGACCGUGAGGCUCCUCUGGCGUCUCCCCACUCAGAACAGGCCUUUUGCUUUCUUCAGGUUCACCUGCUUCCAGGCGGGCAGGGCGUUGUAUUCAUCCCUCGUCAUGUCUAGUGCAAACUGGAAACAUUGGGAGAAGCGCCCCGCGGCUCAGUGAAAGGAGCCGGGCGUGCGUGUGUUGUUUUACUCCCAUCCCCACCCCACCGGAAGAACCGCUUACCUCGAAGUCUUCGUCGGUGAGAUAGAUCUCAAGCUUCAGAGGAUCGACCCCCUCCGGGAGUGGCCUGGCCAGGAGGUCGGCCAGCGGGUAAAUGGUUUUACAGAGCUUGGCUAAGACGUCUUCCACGAGGGUGAUCUGAUUGGAAACUUCCGUGUCCUAGAGAAGAGGAGGGGGCAGAGAGGAGAGCUCGUGUCCUACAUUUGAACUUGUUUUAUUAAGUGCUUACAGACACACAGCCCUGUGCCACCUGCAUACUGCCUGAGGAUGCAUAGUUCCAUAUCACUGAGGAGGAAAUGGCUCUGAAAGAAAAGGGAUC
This 1248-nucleotide long non-coding RNA is filed under the name Homo sapiens (human). Its description in RNAcentral is "HSALNT0357070". Lineage: Eukaryota; Metazoa; Chordata; Mammalia; Primates; Hominidae. The record is from RNAcentral.